RNAcentral lists this transfer RNA (76 nucleotides) under Oxalobacteraceae bacterium. Its description in RNAcentral is "tRNA-Gly". It matches the Rfam family "tRNA". Rfam says of the family: Transfer RNA (tRNA) molecules are approximately 80 nucleotides in length. Their secondary structure includes four short double-helical elements and three loops (D, anti-codon, and T loops). Lineage: Bacteria; Pseudomonadati; Pseudomonadota; Betaproteobacteria; Burkholderiales; Oxalobacteraceae. The record is from RNAcentral.
GCGGACAUAGCUCAGUUGGUAGAGCGUCAGUUUUCCAAACUGAAUGUCGUCGGUUCGAACCAGUCUGUCCGCUCCA